This 74-nucleotide transfer RNA is filed under the name Candidatus Omnitrophica bacterium CG08_land_8_20_14_0_20_41_16. RNAcentral describes it as "tRNA-Arg". It matches the Rfam family "tRNA". Rfam says of the family: Transfer RNA (tRNA) molecules are approximately 80 nucleotides in length. Their secondary structure includes four short double-helical elements and three loops (D, anti-codon, and T loops). Lineage: Bacteria; Pseudomonadati; Candidatus Omnitrophota. The record is from RNAcentral.
GCGCCUGUAGCUCAAUUGAAUAGAGCACCUGCCUUCUAAGCAGGUGGUUGGCCGUUUGAUUCGGCCCAGGCGCA